This 494-nucleotide ribosomal RNA is filed under the name uncultured bacterium. RNAcentral describes it as "partial 16S ribosomal RNA". It matches the Rfam family "Bacterial small subunit ribosomal RNA", at positions 28 to 507 of the family's 1533-position model. The record is from RNAcentral.
GACGAACGCUGGCGGCGCGCUUAACACAUGCAAGUCGAACGGAAAGGCCUGCUUUCCCUUGUGGAUUGCGGGUACUCGAGUGGCGAACGGGUGAGUAACACGUGAGUGAUCUGCCCCCAACUUGGGUAUAAGCCUGGGAAACUGGGUCUAAUUCCCGAUAGGACUGCAGGGUGGUGCCUGUGGUGGAAAACGAUUUUCUAGUGGUUGGGGAUGAGCUCGCGGCCUAUCAGCUUGUUGGUGGGGUAAUGGCCUACCAAGGCGGCGACGGGUAGCCGGCCUGAGAGGGUGGACGGCCACAUUGGGACUGAGAUACGGCCCAGACUCCUACGGGAGGCAGCAGUGGGGAAUAUUGCACGAUGGGCGGAAGCCUGAUGCAGCGACGCCGCGUGGGGGAUGACGGCCUUCGGGUUGUAAACUCCUUUCGACCGCGAGGAAGCCACCUGGUUGGAAGGGUGGUGACGGUAGUGGUAGGAGAAGCACCGGCUAACUACGUG